This 1510-nucleotide ribosomal RNA is filed under the name Lactiplantibacillus pentosus. RNAcentral describes it as "bacterial SSU rRNA". It matches the Rfam family "Bacterial small subunit ribosomal RNA". The record is from RNAcentral. Lineage: Bacteria; Bacillati; Bacillota; Bacilli; Lactobacillales; Lactobacillaceae.
UCGGACGAACGCUGGCGGCGUGCCUAAUACAUGCAAGUCGAACGAACUCUGGUAUUGAUUGGUGCUUGCAUCAUGAUUUACAUUUGAGUGAGUGGCGAACUGGUGAGUAACACGUGGGAAACCUGCCCAGAAGCGGGGGAUAACACCUGGAAACAGAUGCUAAUACCGCAUAACAACUUGGACCGCAUGGUCCGAGUUUGAAAGAUGGCUUCGGCUAUCACUUUUGGAUGGUCCCGCGGCGUAUUAGCUAGAUGGUGGGGUAACGGCUCACCAUGGCAAUGAUACGUAGCCGACCUGAGAGGGUAAUCGGCCACAUUGGGACUGAGACACGGCCCAAACUCCUACGGGAGGCAGCAGUAGGGAAUCUUCCACAAUGGACGAAAGUCUGAUGGAGCAACGCCGCGUGAGUGAAGAAGGGUUUCGGCUCGUAAAACUCUGUUGUUAAAGAAGAACAUAUCUGAGAGUAACUGUUCAGGUAUUGACGGUAUUUAACCAGAAAGCCACGGCUAACUACGUGCCAGCAGCCGCGGUAAUACGUAGGUGGCAAGCGUUGUCCGGAUUUAUUGGGCGUAAAGCGAGCGCAGGCGGUUUUUUAAGUCUGAUGUGAAAGCCUUCGGCUCAACCGAAGAAGUGCAUCGGAAACUGGGAAACUUGAGUGCAGAAGAGGACAGUGGAACUCCAUGUGUAGCGGUGAAAUGCGUAGAUAUAUGGAAGAACACCAGUGGCGAAGGCGGCUGUCUGGUCUGUAACUGACGCUGAGGCUCGAAAGUAUGGGUAGCAAACAGGAUUAGAUACCCUGGUAGUCCAUACCGUAAACGAUGAAUGCUAAGUGUUGGAGGGUUUCCGCCCUUCAGUGCUGCAGCUAACGCAUUAAGCAUUCCGCCUGGGGAGUACGGCCGCAAGGCUGAAACUCAAAGGAAUUGACGGGGGCCCGCACAAGCGGUGGAGCAUGUGGUUUAAUUCGAAGCUACGCGAAGAACCUUACCAGGUCUUGACAUACUAUGCAAAUCUAAGAGAUUAGACGUUCCCUUCGGGGACAUGGAUACAGGUGGUGCAUGGUUGUCGUCAGCUCGUGUCGUGAGAUGUUGGGUUAAGUCCCGCAACGAGCGCAACCCUUAUUAUCAGUUGCCAGCAUUAAGUUGGGCACUCUGGUGAGACUGCCGGUGACAAACCGGAGGAAGGUGGGGAUGACGUCAAAUCAUCAUGCCCCUUAUGACCUGGGCUACACACGUGCUACAAUGGAUGGUACAACGAGUUGCGAACUCGCGAGAGUAAGCUAAUCUCUUAAAGCCAUUCUCAGUUCGGAUUGUAGGCUGCAACUCGCCUACAUGAAGUCGGAAUCGCUAGUAAUCGCGGAUCAGCAUGCCGCGGUGAAUACGUUCCCGGGCCUUGUACACACCGCCCGUCACACCAUGAGAGUUUGUAACACCCAAAGUCGGUGGGGUAACCUUUUAGGAACCAGCCGCCUAAGGUGGGACAGAUGAUUAGGGUGAAGUCGUACAAGGGGUAA